This 389-nucleotide ribosomal RNA is filed under the name Cytobacillus firmus. RNAcentral's name for it is "bacterial SSU rRNA". It matches the Rfam family "Bacterial small subunit ribosomal RNA", at positions 553 to 941 of the family's 1533-position model. Lineage: Bacteria; Bacillati; Bacillota; Bacilli; Caryophanales; Bacillaceae. The record is from RNAcentral.
AUUGGGCGUAAGCGCGCGCAGGCGGUUCCUUAAGUCUGAUGUGAAAGCCCCCGGCUCAACCGGGGAGGGUCAUUGGAAACUGGGGAACUUGAGUGCCGAAGAGAAGAGUGGAAUUCCACGUGUAGCGGUGAAAUGCGUAGAGAUGUGGAGGAACACCAGUGGCGAAGGCGACUCUUUGGUCUGUAACUGACGCUGAGGCGCGAAAGCGUGGGGAGCAAACAGGAUUAGAUACCCUGGUAGUCCACGCCGUAAACGAUGAGUGCUAAGUGUUAGAGGGUUUCCGCCCUUUAGUGCUGCAACAAACGCAUUAAUCCCUCCGCCUGGGGAGUACGGCCGCAAGGAUGAAACUCAAAGGAAUUGACGGCCGCCCGCACAAGCGGUGGAGCAUG